Long non-coding RNA from Mauremys reevesii (Reeves's turtle), 1247 nucleotides. RefSeq lists it as uncharacterized. The record is from RefSeq and is a predicted model, not a curated record. The transcript is spliced from 4 exons. Lineage: Eukaryota; Metazoa; Chordata; Testudines; Geoemydidae.
GAGUGAAGGAGAUGUAGAAGGCUGUGAGAGGCCAUAGGUAAUGAGAUUAGGAGAGAGACCCUUUUCAGGCAAGGAUAGAACUGUGAAGCUUUCCAGAUGCAGAGGCCUAGGAGAGAGAACCAUGACUAAAAAGGGGCAGAGAUGGUUUCAGGCCUCUUUGCCUGGAGAGCUUGUGAGAAGACCCUGAGAAAUCAGGCUACAGACUGAGAAAAUCUCCAGACGGCAAGAGCCUAGAGACAGAGCUCACAGCUUUCUCCACCCAGGAGGCCAAUGUUACUUCAGAUGAUUCCCUCACCUGUCCACUCCAACUACUAAAAGACAGGUCCUGGGCCAGACGGAACUGGUUCUUUCAGAGCAGAUGAGAUUGAUCUAGUAUUACUUGCCUGGGCUGGAGCAAAUGCCACUACACAUCUGAAGCUUCAGAACUUGCCAUGUGAUAUGGGAGACAAAUGAAGCCAGUCAGCAAUGUCAAGGUUUGAAGUGGUGGUCCAUUGAAAGCAGUGGGUCUUACAAGCCUGAGAAGUAGCACGUAAAGCGACUAUGCUGUGGUUUUGUUGCAGAUGCCAGUACUCUUGUGUGAAGUUUUGAAGCGUCAGAUGAACUUGGAUCAAAACUUCUUCUUUUCAAAGGCUGAAUCAUUUUAGGAUGUGGAGCUAAAGUUAAAUGAUAUUUUUGAGGAUAUGAGUAUUAUACUAUGCAAACCACAGACACAGGAUAAGAAUUGUUUACACAAUAUUAUUAUACAGUUACAUAUCUAUUGAGAUAGGUCUCAGUCAUGAUUUUUCAGAGGCUGCAGAAAUAUAAAGGCAAAGGAAAUGUUUUACUUUGAUUUAUUUAGUUUUUUAAAUUUGGAUUGUCCCUUACAGUUUCUUCUUAUUGAUGAGUGACUGAUGGAUACCUGAUCAACCAAUAUUGCAAGAAAAUCUGGGCAGGAAGAAUGAAAUGUAACCUCCCCAAAAGGAUGUGGUACAAUCUCAUGCCACCAAAAUCAAAACCAGAAAGUGGAAAUGAAACACCUGUUGUAGGAGUACAAUGAAGCAAUGUAAACCUUGUAGCCACUGGAGACAUAUUUCUCUGGGAAUGUACCAGUCAUUUGCAAACUAUCUUUCUGUUAGCAAUGAGCAAUUCCCCAAAUACUCUCCCCUGCCCACAACUGACACACACUCACUUGAAGCAGGAGCCAUAGUUUAUCAGGGUUGAAUGGGCCAGACCAGGAAGUUUAUCAGUAUUCACAACUCAAUAGGCAA